UUAAGUUAGAAAGGGCGCACGGUGGAUGCCUUGACACUAGGAGUCGAUGAAGGACGGGACUAACGCCGAUAUGCUUCGGGGAGCUGUAAGUAAGCUUUGAUCCGAAGAUUUCCGAAUGGGGAAACCCACCAUACGUAAUGGUAUGGUAUCCUUAUCUGAAUACAUAGGGUAAGGAAGACAGACCCAGGGAACUGAAACAUCUAAGUACCUGGAGGAAGAGAAAGCAAAUGCGAUUUCCUGAGUAGCGGCGAGCGAAACGGAACAUAGCCCAAACCAAGAGGCUUGCCUCUUGGGGUUGUAGGACAUUCUAUACGGAGUUACAAAGGAACGAGGUAGACGAAGCGACCUGGAAAGGUCCGUCGUAGAGGGUAACAACCCCGUAGUCGAAACUUCGUUCUCUCUUGAAUGUAUCCUGAGUACGGCGGAACACGUGAAAUUCCGUCGGAAUCUGGGAGGACCAUCUCCCAAGGCUAAAUACUCCCUAGUGAUCGAUAGUGAACCAGUACCGUGAGGGAAAGGUGAAAAGCACCCCGGAAGGGGAGUGAAAGAGAUCCUGAAACCGUGUGCCUACAAAUAGUCAGAGCCCGUUAACGGGUGAUGGCGUGCCUUUUGUAGAAUGAACCGGCGAGUUACGAUCCCGUGCGAGGUUAAGCUGAAGAGGCGGAGCCGCAGCGAAAGCGAGUCUGAAUAGGGCGUUUAGUACGUGGUCGUAGACCCGAAACCAGGUGAUCUACCCAUGUCCAGGGUGAAGUUCAGGUAACACUGAAUGGAGGCCCGAACCCACGCACGUUGAAAAGUGCGGGGAUGAGGUGUGGGUAGCGGAGAAAUUCCAAUCGAACCUGGAGAUAGCUGGUUCUCCCCGAAAUAGCUUUAGGGCUAGCCUUAAGUGUAAGAGUCUUGGAGGUAGAGCACUGAUUGGACUAGGGGUCCUCAUCGGAUUACCGAAUUCAGUCAAACUCCGAAUGCCAAUGACUUAUCCUUAGGAGUCAGACUGCGAGUGAUAAGAUCCGUAGUCAAAAGGGAAACAGCCCAGACCGCCAGCUAAGGUCCCAAAGUGUGUAUUAAGUGGAAAAGGAUGUGGAGUUGCUUAGACAACUAGGAUGUUGGCUUAGAAGCAGCCACCAUUUAAAGAGUGCGUAAUAGCUCACUAGUCGAGUGACUCUGCGCCGAAAAUGUACCGGGGCUAAAUACACCACCGAAGCUGCGGAUUGAUACCGAAUGGUAUCAGUGGUAGGGGAGCGUUCUAAGGACAGUGAAGUCAGACCGUAAGGACUGGUGGAGUGCUUAGAAGUGAGAAUGCCGGUAUGAGUAGCGAAAGACGGGUGAGAAUCCCGUCCACCGAAUGCCUAAGGUUUCCUGAGGAAGGCUCGUCCGCUCAGGGUUAGUCAGGACCUAAGCCGAGGCCGACAGGCGUAGGCGAUGGACAACAGGUUGAUAUUCCUGUACCACCUCUUUAUCGUUUGAGCAAUGGAGGGACGCAGAAGGAUAGAAGAAGCGUGCGAUUGGUUGUGCACGUCCAAGCAGUUAGGCUGAUAAGUAGGCAAAUCCGCUUAUCGUAAAGGCUGAGCUGUGAUGGGGAAGCUCCUUAUGGAGCGAAGUCUUUGAUUCCCCGCUGCCAAGAAAAGCUUCUAGCGAGAUAAAAGGUGCCUGUACCGCAAACCGACACAGGUAGGCGAGGAGAGAAUCCUAAGGUGUGCGAGAGAACUCUGGUUAAGGAACUCGGCAAAAUGACCCCGUAACUUCGGGAGAAGGGGUGCUUUCUUAACGGAAAGCCGCAGUGAAUAGGCCCAAGCGACUGUUUAGCAAAAACACAGCUCUCUGCGAAGCCGUAAGGCGAAGUAUAGGGGGUGACACCUGCCCGGUGCUGGAAGGUUAAGGAGAGGGGUUAGCGUAAGCGAAGCUCUGAACUGAAGCCCCAGUAAACGGCGGCCGUAACUAUAACGGUCCUAAGGUAGCGAAAUUCCUUGUCGGGUAAGUUCCGACCCGCACGAAAGGUGUAACGAUUUGGGCACUGUCUCAACCAGAGACUCGGUGAAAUUAUAGUACCUGUGAAGAUGCAGGUUACCCGCGACAGGACGGAAAGACCCCGUGGAGCUUUACUGUAGCCUGAUAUUGAAUUUUGGUACAGUUUGUACAGGAUAGGCGGGAGCCAUUGAAACCGGAGCGCUAGCUUCGGUGGAGGCGCUGGUGGGAUACCGCCCUGACUGUAUUGAAAUUCUAACCUACGGGUCUUAUCGACCCGGGAGACAGUGUCAGGUGGGCAGUUUGACUGGGGCGGUCGCCUCCUAAAGUGUAACGGAGGCGCCCAAAGGUUCCCUCAGAAUGGUUGGAAAUCAUUCGUAGAGUGCAAAGGCAUAAGGGAGCUUGACUGCGAGACCUACAAGUCGAGCAGGGACGAAAGUCGGGCUUAGUGAUCCGGUGGUUCCGCAUGGAAGGGCCAUCGCUCAACGGAUAAAAGCUACCCCGGGGAUAACAGGCUUAUCUCCCCCAAGAGUCCACAUCGACGGGGAGGUUUGGCACCUCGAUGUCGGCUCAUCGCAUCCUGGGGCUGUAGUCGGUCCCAAGGGUUGGGCUGUUCGCCCAUUAAAGCGGUACGCGAGCUGGGUUCAGAACGUCGUGAGACAGUUCGGUCCCUAUCCGUCGUGGGCGUAGGAAAUUUGAGAGGAGCUGUCCUUAGUACGAGAGGACCGGGAUGGACGCACCGCUGGUGUACCAGUUGUUCUGCCAAGGGCAUAGCUGGGUAGCUAUGUGCGGAAGGGAUAAGUGCUGAAAGCAUCUAAGCAUGAAGCCCCCCUCAAGAUGAGAUUUCCCAUAGCGUAAGCUAGUAAGAUCCCUGAAAGAUGAUCAGGUUGAUAGGUUCGAGGUGGAAGCAUGGUGACAUGUGGAGCUGACGAAUACUAAUAGAUCGAGGACNNNNNNNN
This 2921-nucleotide ribosomal RNA is filed under the name Solea senegalensis (Senegalese sole). Its description in RNAcentral is "bacterial LSU rRNA". It matches the Rfam family "Bacterial large subunit ribosomal RNA". Lineage: Eukaryota; Metazoa; Chordata; Actinopteri; Pleuronectiformes; Soleidae. The record is from RNAcentral.